This 262-nucleotide long non-coding RNA is filed under the name Amborella trichopoda. RNAcentral describes it as "long non-coding RNA (ATRI_LNC001924)". Lineage: Eukaryota; Viridiplantae; Streptophyta; Magnoliopsida; Amborellales; Amborellaceae. The record is from RNAcentral.
GCCCAGCUUGAGCCUGAUCGUUAACCUUGGGGUUGAUUGGUUUCCAUCAAUGGAAACUGGUUUUGCCUCAGAGCCAGAGGAAUUUGAAAGAUCAGAGAUGGAGGGUUCCAUGGAAUCAGAGAAGGGAAGAUAAGAAAGACCAAGAAUUAGAGGGAGAAAGAGGAAGAGGUACGCAAUGAACGAGGAGGAGGAGGAGGUGGAGAAGGGAAAACAAGACUUAAAAUGAGAGAGAAACAGAGGGAAAUGAGAGAGAGGUUGUUUC